RNAcentral lists this ribosomal RNA (239 nucleotides) under Proteus mirabilis. Its description in RNAcentral is "partial 23S ribosomal RNA". It matches the Rfam family "Bacterial large subunit ribosomal RNA", at positions 368 to 610 of the family's 2925-position model. The record is from RNAcentral. Lineage: Bacteria; Pseudomonadati; Pseudomonadota; Gammaproteobacteria; Enterobacterales; Morganellaceae.
UAGCCCCGUAUCUGAAGAUGCUGUUAUUGUGAACUCGACGAGUAGGGCGGGAGACGUGUUAUCCUGUCUGAAUAUGGGGGGACCAUCCUCCAAGGCUAAAUACUCCUGAUUGACAGAUAGUGAACCAGUACCGUGAGGGAAAGGCGAAAAGAACCCCGGCGAGGGGAGUGAAAAAGAACCUGAAACCGUGAACGUACAAGCAGUAGGAGCCUCUUUAUGGGGUGACUGCGUACCUUUUG